Molecule: non-coding RNA, 21 nt
Filed under: Caenorhabditis elegans
Lineage: Eukaryota; Metazoa; Nematoda; Chromadorea; Rhabditida; Rhabditidae
Source: RNAcentral
UAUCCAGAAAAAGUUCAGUUU